RNAcentral lists this ribosomal RNA (14891 nucleotides) under Staphylinidae sp. BMNH 1274246. Its description in RNAcentral is "16S ribosomal RNA". The stretch from base 2511 to 2579 matches the Rfam family "tRNA". Lineage: Eukaryota; Metazoa; Arthropoda; Insecta; Coleoptera; Staphylinidae. The record is from RNAcentral.
AUUAAAUUAAAAUUAAUUUUCUUUUUAAUGUAAAUAAAAUACUUUUACAAGCUCUAAUUUGCAAUCUAAAUACACUUUCCAGUACAUUUACUUUGUUACGACUUAUCUCACUUUAAAUGAGAGCGACGGGCAAUAUGUACAUAUUUUAGAGCUAAAAUCAUUUAACCAAUAUAAAUUAAAUUACAUUCAAAUCCAAUUUCAAACUAAUUUAAAACUAAUUAUCCAUAAAUAAAUUUAUUGUAACCCAUUUCUUCUUAUUUAUAAACUACACCUUGAUCUGAUUUAUUUUCUUAUUAAAAAUUAUGAAUAUUAUAAUUCUAUUAAAAUAUUCAAUUACGACGAUAUAUAAAUUUUUAAAAUAAGUAUUUCUAAUCGUGGAUUUUCAAUUAUAGAACAGGUUCCUCUGAAAAGAUUAAAAUACCGCCAAAAUUUUUAAUUUUAAAGAACAUAACUAUUAAUAAUUCAAUAUCAUUAAUUUUACAUUUUAAUAAUAGGGUAUCUAAUCCUAGUCUAUAAAAAAAUUUAAUAACUUCAAAAUCUAAAUAAUAAUUUAAUUAAUAACUUAAAAUUUCACCUAAUAAAUUAUAUUAUAAAUUAACUAAACUCAUUUAAUUAUUUAUUAAUAAAAAUAAAUUAUAUUAUUUGUAUAACCGCAACUGCUGGCACAAAUUAUGUUAAUAUUAUUAUAAAUAUCUAAAUCAUAAUUUCUUAUAUUUUUAAAAUUAAAUACUGCAAAUAAAAAAAAAUUAUUAUUAUUUAAAAAAUAAUUUUUAAACACAUAAAUUUACAUAAAAAAAAUUAAUUUAUAAAUCUAUUUAAAAAACGUAAAUAAAAUAUCUAUAAAUUAAUAUAAAAAAUUUAGCACAUAUAUAUAAACUAAAUCCUUUUUUUUAAUUAAACCAAAAUAAAAUUUACAUUAAUUAUAAAAAAAUAUUUAAAAAACAUAUUUUUAAAAUAAAAAUUACAAAACUUAAUAAAUUUUAUAAACUUAACCCCUUAAAUUUUUUAAUUAAAAAAUAAAACCCCAUUAAUUCAUUAAAUUAAAGCCCCUAUAAAAACUUAAUUAAUCUAAUCCUUAUUUUAUAAUAGUAACUUUACUAUUAACCCCUUUUUUUUUAACUUAAAAAUAAUUAUUACUAAUUAUAUAUAUAUAUAUAUAUUAUAAAUCCAAUAAAUUUAAUUAAAAUAAAAAAUUAAACAAAAUUUUAUAUUUUUAAUAUUUUUUUUUAAUUUUAAAAAAAUCGAAAAAUAACCCCUAAAUUAACCCCUAAAUUAACCCGAUUUUUUUUAAAAAAAAUCAAUUUUUUUUAAUAUAAUUAAUCCAUCAUUUUUUGAAUUUACAAAAUUUAAAAAUUUUUGUUUUUAAAAAAUUAUUGAAUUAAAACUAAGAAAAUUAAUAUUGAUUUUUUAUUAUUUAAUUUUUUCUAUACUAAUAAAAUUUAACUUAUUAAAUUAAACAAUAUAUAAAAAUUAAAAAAAUAUUUAUUUUUAAAAAAUAUUUUUUUUUUUAAUAUUUUACUUUUAUAUUAAUAAAUUAUAUCCAAUAUUAAAAAAUUAAAUACAAUAAUUUCAAUAUUUAUUUCUUAAAAAUAAAAAAAUUUAAAAUUUAUACAUUCCUUAUAAUUUACUAUUAAAUAAAAAUUAAUUAAUAAUUUAUCAAUCUAUAAUAAAAGAAAGUUUUUUUUUUUUUCAAAAAAAAAUUAUGAAAUUUUUAUAUUCAUUUAAAUUAAUUAUUAAUAUUACUAAAUUUUUUAGUUUUAAAUUAAAUUUUUGUCAAUAAAUAUUUAAUUUAUUUUUAAUUUAUAAGAUCUUAUUAUUAUUUGAUUAUUAUAUUAUUUUAUUAAUAUAUUAAAUAUUUAUAUAUAUAUAUAUAUUUAUAUUAAUUAUACAUAUAUAUUAUAAUAUAUAUAUAUAUAAAUUUAUUAUAUAUAUAUAUAAUAUAAUAUUACUAAUAUAAUUAAAUUUUUAAAUAUUUACUUUAUUUUUUUUUUUUUCUAAAUUCAUAGAAUAACUUUAUUUUAUUAAAUUUGAUUUGAUCUAUUUUCAAUAUAAUACUCUAUUAGUGAUAUAUAAAUCAUUAUUAAUUAAUUAUAUUAUAGAAUUAUAAAUAAUAUCAAUAUAUAAUAAGUUAAUUUUUAUAGGCUAAAAGUUGUGUGUCGGAAAAAUUUUCUAUUUUUAACUAAAUUUACUUAAUAAUUCUACUAUUUAAUAAAAUUUUAGUAACUAAAUUUUCCUAAAUUUUACGUUUUUUUUUUCAAAAAAAAUAACUUUUUUUUUUUAAGUAAAUUUAGCCUUUUUUAGUAGUAAUUUUAUCAUAAUUUUUUUAUACAUGGUUGGAAAAAUAAAUUUUUAAGUUAAUAUUUAAAUUAUAUUUUUAAACAAGAUGCCUGAUUAAAAGGAUUAUUUUGAUAGAAUAAAUUAUGUAAUAAUUAUUACUCUUGUUAUAUUUAAUAGAAUUAAACUAUUUCUUUUAAAAUCAAAAUUUAAUGUACAUCUUAUACUAAAAUAUAAAAAAGAUAAGCUAAUUAAGCUACUGGGCUCAUACCUCAUUUAUAAAGGUCUUAAUCCUUUUCUUUUUAAUUUUUUAUCACUAUAAAUUAUUUUUUUUAAUAAUUUUAAUACUUGGUAGAUUAAUUUCAAUUUCAUCAAAUUCAUGAAUAGGAAUAUGAAUAGGAUUAGAAAUUAAUCUCUUAGCUUUUAUUCCUCUAAUUCAAGAAAAAAACAAUUCUCUAUCUAAUGAAAGAUCUCUUAAAUAUUUUCUAUCACAAGCUUUAGCUUCAAUAAUUCUAUUAAUAUCUCUAAUUUUCCUUUCUAAAUAUUAUUUAAUUCUUAAAAAUAUUGAUAAUUAUAUAAUUCUUAUAUUUAAUUCAGCAUUACUUAUAAAAAUAGGAAUAGCCCCUUUCCAUUUUUGAUUUCCAGAAGUAAUUGAAGGAUUAAACUGAAUUAAUAGAUUAAUUUUAUUAACAUGACAAAAAAUUACCCCUAUAGUCCUUGUUAUAUAUAAUUUAAAUUAUCAAUAUUUUUUUGUUGUUAUUAUUAUUACAAGAAUAAUAAUUAGAGCAAUUAUAGGAAUUAACCAAAUUAGAUUACGAAAAAUUCUAGCUUAUUCAUCAAUUAAUCAUAUAGCAUGAAUAAUUAGAGCAAUAUUUAUUUCCGAAUCAAUUUGAUUAUACUAUUUAAUAAUUUAUUUUUUAUUAACUUUUAAUAUUUGAUUUUUUUUUAUAAAGUUAAAUCUAUUUUAUAUUAAUCAAAUAAUUUCAACCCUAAAAAAAAAUUAUUUUUUAAAAAUAAUUUUUUCAUUUAAUUUUUUAUCUUUAGGAGGAUUACCCCCAUUUAUUGGAUUUUUUCCAAAAUGAAUUACUAUUCAAUAUAUAUUAACUAGAUGAACUAUUCUUGCUUUAUUUAUAGUACUAUGUACUCUUUUAACUUUAUUUUAUUAUAUACGUUUAAUUUAUAGAAUUAUAAUUAUUAAUCAUCAUAAUUUAAAUUAUUCAAUAAAUUUAAAUUAUAAUAAUCUUUUUAUAAUUUUUAUUAAUUUAUUAACGCUAUUUAGAUUAAUAUUAUUUACCAUAAUAUUAUUUUUUAACUAAAUCAAGGAUUUAAGUUAAAAAAAAACUAGUAGCCUUCAAAGCUUCAAAUAAGGAUAAUUUUCUUAAGCCUUAGAAUAUUAUUCACCUCUAAAUUUGCAAUUUAAUAUCAUAUUUUGAAUAUAAGACUUGGUAAAAGAAUUAAUCAUUCGUAAAUAAAUUUACAAUUUAUUGCUUAUUCCUCAGCCAUUUUACCGAAUAAAUGAUUAUUUUCAACAAACCAUAAAGACAUUGGUACUUUAUAUUUUAUUUUUGGCUCUUGAGCAGGAAUAGUCGGAACAUCAUUAAGACUUCUUAUUCGAGCUGAAUUAGGAAACCCUGGAUCAUUAAUUGGUAAUGACCAAAUUUAUAACGUAAUUGUUACAGCCCAUGCCUUUGUUAUAAUUUUUUUUAUAGUUAUACCAAUUUUAAUUGGAGGAUUUGGAAAUUGACUUGUUCCCUUAAUAUUAGGGGCUCCUGAUAUAGCAUUCCCUCGAAUAAAUAAUAUAAGAUUUUGAUUACUUCCCCCAUCUCUUACACUUUUAUUAAUAAGGAGAAUAGUUGAAAGAGGUGCUGGUACAGGAUGAACUGUUUAUCCUCCCCUAUCAUCAAAUAUUGCUCAUGGAGGAUCAUCUGUUGAUUUAGCAAUUUUUAGACUUCAUCUAGCAGGAAUUUCAUCAAUUUUAGGGGCAGUAAAUUUUAUUUCUACAGUAAUUAAUAUACGAUCAAGAGGAAUAUCCUUUGAUAAAAUACCUUUAUUUGUAUGAGCUGUUGUAUUAACAGCUUUAUUAUUACUUCUUUCCUUACCUGUAUUAGCAGGAGCUAUUACAAUACUAUUAACAGAUCGAAAUUUAAACACAUCAUUUUUUGAUCCCGCUGGUGGUGGAGACCCUAUUUUAUACCAACAUUUAUUCUGAUUUUUUGGUCAUCCUGAAGUAUAUAUUUUAAUUCUCCCAGGAUUUGGAAUAAUUUCACAUAUUAUUAGACAAGAAAGAGGUAAAAAGGAAACAUUUGGUACUCUAGGGAUAAUCUACGCAAUAAUAGCAAUUGGAUUAUUAGGAUUUGUAGUAUGAGCCCAUCAUAUAUUUACUGUAGGAAUAGAUGUUGAUACACGAGCUUAUUUUACUUCAGCUACUAUAAUUAUUGCAGUUCCUACAGGAAUUAAAAUUUUUAGAUGAUUAGCUACUCUUCAUGGAACACAAAUUAAUUACUCUCCAGCUAUACUUUGAGCAUUAGGAUUUGUAUUUUUAUUUACUGUAGGGGGAUUAACUGGAGUAAUUUUAGCUAAUUCAUCUAUUGAUAUUAUUUUACAUGAUACUUACUAUGUAGUAGCUCAUUUUCACUAUGUUUUAUCAAUAGGAGCUGUAUUUGCCAUUAUAGCAGGUUUUAUUCAAUGAUACCCUUUAUUUACAGGAUUAACAUUAAAUAAUAAAUUAUUAAAAAUUCAAUUUUUAACAAUAUUUAUUGGUGUUAACAUUACUUUUUUCCCUCAACAUUUUUUAGGAUUAGCAGGAAUACCUCGACGGUAUUCUGAUUACCCAGAUGCCUACAUAACAUGAAAUAUAAUUUCAUCGAUUGGAAGAUUAAUUUCAAUAAUUAGUAUUAUUUUUUUCAUUUUUAUCAUUUGAGAAAGAUUUUUAAUAAUACGAAAAAGAAUUAUUUCACUAAAUCUAUCUUCUUCCAUUGAAUGACUUCAAUCUAUACCUCCAGCUGAACAUAGCUAUUCUGAAUUACCUAUAUUAUCAAAUUUCUAAUAUGGCAGAUUAGUGCAUUGGAUUUAAGCCCCAAUUAUAAAGUUUAUACUUUUUUUAGAAAAUGGCAACAUGAAAAACAUUAACUACUCAAGAUAGAGCCUCUCCUUUAAUAGAACAAUUAUUAUUCUUCCAUGACCAUACACUAAUAAUUUUAUUAAUAAUUACUAUUCUUGUUGGUUACAUUAUAACAAGAUUAUUUUUUAAUAAAUUUAAUUAUCGACACUUAUUAGAAGGACAAAUAAUUGAAAUAAUUUGAACUAUUCUUCCAGCUAUUACUUUAAUUUUUAUUGCUCUUCCAUCCUUACGGUUAUUAUAUUUAUUAGAUGAAAUCAAUAACCCUUUAAUUACUAUUAAAACAAUUGGCCAUCAAUGAUAUUGAUCUUAUGAAUAUACAGAUUUUAAAAAUCUUGAAUUUGAUUCAUUUAUAAUUCCAACAAAUGAAUUAAACUCUUUUAAUUUUCGAUUACUUGAUGUAGAUAAUCGAAUUGCAAUUCCUUACCAAUCACAAAUCCGUAUAUUAAUUUCAGCUGCUGACGUAUUACAUUCAUGAACAAUUCCAGCUCUUAGAGUAAAAAUUGACGCAACCCCAGGCCGAUUAAAUCAAAUUAAUUUUUUUAUUAAUCGAACAGGAAUUUUCUUUGGUCAAUGUUCAGAAAUUUGUGGAGCAAAUCAUAGAUUUAUACCAAUUGUACUAGAAAGAAUUUCUCCCAAAUUUUUUAUUAAAUGAAUUAAUAAAAUAAGAGAAAUCUACAUUAGAUGGCUGAAAGUAAGCAAUGGUCUCUUAAACCAUCCUAUAGUAAACUAGCACCUACUUCUAGUGGCCUAAAAAUUUAGUUAAAAUUAUAACAUUAGUUUGUCAGACUAAAAUUAUUAAGAAUAUUGAUAAUUUUUAAUUCCACAAAUAGCACCUAUAAAUUGACUAUCCUUAUUUAUUAUAUUUACAAUUACAUUUCUAAUUUUUAAUAGAAUAAAUUUCUUCUCUUUUUUUUAUAAUUAUAAGUUAAGAAAAUUUAAUAAAAUAACUAAAAGAAUUAAUUGAAAAUGAUAACAAAUCUUUUUAGUUCUUUUGAUCCUUCAACUAACCUAUUUGCUCUUAAUUGAUUAAGAACUUUUCUUGGGAUAUUAUUUAUUCCUUCUAUAUAUUGAUUAAUUCCUUCACGAUGAAAUUAUUUAUGAAUCUCUAUAAUUAUAACACUUCAUAAUGAAUUUAAAGUUUUAUUAGGAAAUAAAAUUAAAGGAAGAACAUUAAUCUUUAUUUCAUUAUUUUCAUUAAUUUUAUUUAAUAAUUUUUUAGGUUUAUUCCCUUAUAUUUUUACUAGAUCAAGACAUUUAAUUAUAACAUUAGCCUUAGCUUUACCUUUAUGGUUAAGAUUUAUAAUCUAUGGAUGAUUAAAUAAUACAAUUCAUAUAUUUGCUCACCUAGUUCCUCAAGGAACCCCUCCUGUACUAAUACCUUUUAUAGUUUUAAUUGAAACAAUUAGAAAUAUUAUUCGUCCUGGAACUUUAGCUGUUCGAUUAGCUGCCAAUAUAAUUGCAGGUCAUUUACUUCUUACACUUUUAGGAAAUACAGGACCCUCAAUAAAUUUACUAAUAAUUAAUAUCUUAAUUAUUACACAACUACUACUUCUAGUUCUUGAAAGAGCUGUAUCAAUUAUUCAAUCUUAUGUAUUUGCAGUUUUAAGAACACUAUAUUCUAGAGAAGUUAACUAAUGCAUUCACAUAAAAACCACCCAUUUCACUUAGUUGAUGUAAGACCUUGACCUUUAUUAGGAGCAUUAGGAGCUAUAAUUUCUAUAAUUGGAAUUAUUAAAUGAUUCCAUAUAUUUAAUAAUAAAUUAUUUUUAUUAGGCAUAAUAAUUACGCUAAUAAUUAUAUACCAAUGAUGACGAGAUAUCUCUCGAGAAGGAACAUUUCAAGGACUUCAUACAUAUCAAGUAACUAUAGGGUUACGAUGAGGAAUAAUUUUAUUUAUUACAUCAGAAGUAUUUUUUUUUAUCUCAUUUUUUUGAGGAUUUUUUCAUAGAAGAUUAUCACCUACUAUUGAAUUAGGAAUACUAUGACCCCCUAAAGGAAUUGAAACAUUUAAUCCUAUACAAAUCCCUCUUUUAAAUACAUUAAUUUUAUUAACAUCAGGACUAACAGUUACUUGGGCUCAUCAUAGAUUAAUAGAAAAUAAUUUCAAACAAACAACUCAAGGAUUAUUAUUAACAGUAAUUCUAGGAAUUUACUUUACAAUUCUUCAAGGCUAUGAAUAUAUUGAAUCACCAUUUUCAAUUGCCGAUGCAAUUUAUGGAUCUUCCUUCUUUAUAGCUACUGGCUUUCAUGGGCUACAUGUAAUUAUUGGAACAACUUUCUUAUUAGUAUGUUUAAUUCGACAUGUUAAUAAUCACUUUUCCUCAAUCCAUCAUUUUGGAUUUGAAGCUGCCGCAUGAUAUUGACAUUUUGUAGAUGUGGUUUGAUUAUUCUUAUAUAUUUCUAUUUAUUGAUGAGGUAGAUAUUUAUAUAGUAUAAAAAUUAUUUUUGAUUUCCAAUUAAAAGAUCUAAUAAAAUUUAGUAUAAAUAAUUUUUUCUAUUUUAAAAAUUAGAACUUGUAUUAUUUUAAUUAGUAUUAUUGUUAUACUAAUUGCUAGAAUUAUUUCAAAGAAAACAUUUAUAGAUCGAGAAAAAAGAAGACCAUUUGAAUGUGGAUUUGACCCAAAAAGUUACGCUCGAAUACCUUUUUCACUUCAAUUCUUUUUAAUUGCAAUAAUUUUUCUUAUUUUUGAUGUAGAAAUUACUCUAUUAAUUCCAUUUAUUAUAAUUAUAAAAAUUUCUAAUCUAUGAAUUUAUUUUUUAACUAUAUCUUUUUUUUUAAUAAUUCUUUUAUUAGGAUUAUACCAUGAAUGAACUCAAGGAGCUUUAAACUGAUCAAUUUAGGAUUAUAGUUAAAUUAUAACAUUUAAUUUGCAUUUAAAAAUUAUUGAAAAUUCAAUUUAUCUUAAAAUAAGAAACAAAUGAUUGUAUUUAGUUUCGACCUAAAAUUUUGGUGUAAACCCACCCUUAUUUUUAAUUGAAACCAAAAUUGAGGUAAAUCACUGUUAAUGAUUAAAUUGAGCUUAAACUCCAAUUAAAGAAAUAGGUUAUUCAAAAGUAAGCUUCUAACUUAACUUUUUAACGAUGAAAUUUCGUUAAUAUUUCUAUUUAUAUAGUUUAUUAAAACAUUACAUUUUCAUUGUAAAAUUAAGAUUUUAUUCUUUAUAAAUAUUUAAAAAUAAUAAUUAUUUCCUUAAUAUCUUCAAUAUUAUGCUCUUUAUAAGCUAUUUAAAUAUAAUCCACUAAUAGUAUAAACAAAUAAUUAAUAUAAAAUAAAUUACUAUUAAUAAAAAGAAAAUUUUUAAAUUAUUAAAAAAUAAAAAUUGAGAAAAUUUUGAAUAUUUAACUAAAUUUAAAUAAAUAUUUUGACUUCCUAUAUAUUCAGAUCAACCUUGAUCAAUUUUAAUAUAUAAAAUUUUUCCUAAAUUUGUAAAAAAAUAGUUUAUUCCAAAUGUUGAUAAAAUAGGUAUAUUUCAUAUUAUUGAUAAAAAAUAUCUUAAAUUUAUAUAUUUUAAUGCCUUUAAAUUAUAAUUUAAAGAAAAAAAAGAAAAUUCUAAUCCUAAAAUAACUCCACAAAUUGUAACUAAUAAAGCUAUUAMCUUUAUUAAUAAAGGUAAACAAAUAAAAUAAGGAGUUGCAAACAUUAUUCAUAUUAAACCACUUCCCCCAAAAAUAACUAAAAAAAUUAAUCCUAAUAUUCUAUUUAAUAUAAUUUUUCCAUGGUCUCUUAAACAAUUUAACGACAAAAAAUUAAAAUCCCCAAUUAUAGAAUAAUAUACUAAACGAAAUCUAUAACUAACUGUUAAACCUGUUGAAAUAAAAUAAAUUAAAUAAAUAAAUAUAUUUAAAUAAUUUAUUGAUAAAAUUUCUAAAAUUAAAUCUUUUGAAUAAAAUCCUGCUAAAAAAGGAAUACCACAUAAAGAUAAAUUUGCAAUAUUAAAAAUACAACAAGUUAAAGGUAUAAAUUUAAUUAAACCUCCUAUAAAUCGAAUAUCUUGACAAUUAUUUAAUCUAUGAAUUAUACAUCCUGCACAUAUAAAUAAUGUUGCCUUAAAUAAAGCAUGCCUUAAUAAAUGAAAAAAUCUUAAUUUAUAUUCACCUAAUGCUAAAAUUCUUAUUAUUAAUCCUAAUUGACUUAAUGUCGAUAAAGCAAUAAUUUUUUUCAAAUCAAACUCAAAAUUAGCACCUAAUCCAGCUAUAAAUAUAGUUAUUGUUCCAAUAAAUAAUAAAAAUAUUAUUAAAUUAAUAUCUAAUGAAUUACUAAAUCGAAUUAAUAAAUAAACCCCAGCAGUUACUAAAGUAGAAGAAUGAACUAAUGAAGAUACUGGAGUUGGAGCUGCUAUAGCAGCAGGUAAUCAUGAAGAAAAAGGAAUCUGAGCUCUUUUAGUUAAAGCUGCAAUUAUUACUAACAAAGUAAUAAUUUUUAUAGAAGAAUCAUUUUUUAUAAAAUCUAAAUAAAAAAUAUAAUUUCAUCUUCCAUAAUUUAAUAUUCAAGCAAUCCUUAAUAAUAAAGCUACAUCACCAAUUCGAUUAGAUAAAGCAGUUAAUAUUCCAGCAUUAUAAGAUUUAAUAUUUUGAUAAUAAAUAACUAAACAAUAAGAAACUAACCCUAAACCAUCCCAACCUAGUAAAAUUCUCACUAAAUUUGGACUAAUAAUAAGCAAUAUUAUUGAUAAAACAAAUAUAACAACUAACAAAAUAAAUCGAUGAAUUUGUUCAUCACCAUACAUAUAUUCAGAUCUAUAAUAAAUUACUAUUCUAGAAAUAUAUAAAACAAACCUUAUAAAUAAUAAAGAUAUUCAAUCAAUUAAAAUUACUAUUUCUAAAGAACUCGAAUUAAUAGUUAAUAAAUGAAAAUCAAUAAUUAUUCUAUAAUCUAAAACUAUCAAAUAUAACCUUAUUAAAAACAAAAUUAAACUAAUAGUAAAAAAAAAUAAAAAAUAAACUAAACAAAUUGAAAUUAUCUAAAGUAAAAAAAAUUACAUCAUUGAUCCCACAAAUCAAUAUUUUAUAUUAAACUAUUUAAAUUAAAUUCAAGAAAAAAACAAUUCUCUCUUUAAAACUAAUAAAUUUAAAGGUAGCCAAUGCAUUAUUAAAAGUAAAUACUCACGAAAAUUACUAUUAAAAAAUCUAAAUAAUCCAGAAUAUAAUAUUCCAUGUUGUGUAAAAGAAAAUAAAUAUAAAGAAUAAACAGCUCUAAAAAAUGAUAUAAAUAUAAUAAAAAAUAUAGAUAAAAAAUUUCAUCUUACUAAUCUAUUAAUUAAUAUAAUUUCUCCUAUUAAAUUAAAAGACGGAGGAGCAGCUAUAUUUGAUGAUAAUAAUAAAAACCAUCAUAAAGAUAAACUUGGUAUAAUAUUAAUUAUUCCUUUAUUUAAAUAUAUUCUUCGUCUAUGAAGCCGCUCAUAACUAAUAUUUGCUAAACAAAAUAAACCAGAUGAACAUAAACCAUGAGCUACCAUUAUUCUAAGGCUUCCGUAAAAUCCCCAUCUAUUUAAUGUUAUUACUCCAGCUAAUACUAAUCCUAUAUGAGCUACUGAUGAAUAAGCAACUAAAGACUUAAUAUCUCUUUGUCGUAAACAAAUUAAAGAUACAAAAAUCCCACCUACCAAGGAAAUUGUAAUAAUUAUAUAAUUUAAAUCAUUAAUUAUAAAAUUAAAAAUUAUUAAUAAACGUAAUAUUCCGUAUCCCCCUAAUUUUAAUAUAACUCCUGCUAAAAUUAUUGAUCCCGAAACAGGGGCUUCUACAUGAGCCUUAGGCAACCAUAAAUGAACAAAAUAUAUAGGUAUCUUUACUAAAAAUACUAAUAAUAUAAAAAUUAUUAUAUAAAAAUUAUAAUUUAAAGUUAAAGAAAAAAACCUUAAUGAAUUAUUAAAAUCAUAAUAAUUAAAUAUAAAAAUUAUUAUUGGUAAAGAAGCAAAUAUAGUAUAAAAUAAUAAAUAAGUACCAGCUUGAAUUCGUUCAGGUUGAUACCCUCAACCAAUAAUUAAAAUUAAUGUGGGAAUUAACCUUAUUUCAAAAAAUAAAUAAAAUAAAAAUAAAUUAGAAACAGCAAAUGUUAUAAAUAAGGAUAUUAAUAACAUUAAUAUUAUAAAUAAAAAUAAAUUUUCAUAAUUUUUAUUAUUACUAAUUUUAGCUCUUGCUAUUAAUAUUAAAGAACAGAUUCAAAUUCUUAAUAAAAUUAUUAAAUACCUUAACAAAUCACAUAUUAUAAAAUAAGAAAUUCUAUCAACCAAAAAAUCAAAUUUUAUAUUAAUUAUAAAAAUUAUAAAAAAUAAAAAAUAAAUAAAUUGAUUUAAUCAAAAUUUAUUUUUAAAAAAAGAUAAAGGAAUCAUAAAAAUUAUUAUAAAUAAAAAUUUUAUCAUAAUAAAUUAAAUGAUUGAAAAUAAUCAUUUCCGAAUCUACGAAUCAUUGCUACUAAGAUUGAUAAUCCUAAAACACCUUCACAAACUCUUAUUGUUAAAAAAAUUAUACAAAAAUAAUAUUCAUUAUUAAAAUUUCUUAAAUUAAUAAAUAAAUUAAAAUAUAAAGAUAAAAUAAUAAAUUCUAAUCUUAAUAAUAUUAACAAUAAAUGUUUUCGUUUUAAUACAAAAACAAUUAAUCCAGAAAAAUAUAUAAUUAUAGAAAAAAAUAUUAACAUUAGUUUUAAUAAUUUAAUAAAAAUAUUGGUCUUGUAAAUCAAAAAUAAGAAAAUUACUCUUUUAAAACAUCAGAAAAAAAAUAUUCUUUUAUCAUUAAUCUCCAAAAUUAAUAUUUUAUUUAAACUAUUUUCUGAUAUUCUUAUAACACUCAGAAUACUAAUUUCAAUUAUAUUCCUUUUUAUAAAUCAUCCCAUAACUAUAGGAUUAACUUUAUUAAUUCAAACUAUUAUUAUAUCUAUAAUUUCAGGAUUACUAAACUACAAUUAUUGAUUUUCUUACAUUUUAUUUUUAAUUAUAGUAGGAGGAAUAUUAGUUUUAUUUAUUUACAUAACAAGAAUUGCUUCUAAUGAAAUAUUUACUUAUUCAAAUAAAAUACUAUGAAUAAGAAUAAUAAUUAUAAUUAUAUUAAUUUUUAUUAAUCUAAUUAUUGAUAAAUACAUAAUAAACUAUAAUUUUAUUUUUUUAGAAAAUUUUUUUAUUAAAAUAAAUUAUAUAUAUUUAUCUAAAUACUUUAGAUACCCUUCAAUUAUUAUUAUUGUAUUAAUAAUUAUUUAUUUAUUCAUUACCUUAAUUGCAAUUGUAAAAAUUACAAAAAUUGAAUAUGGACCAUUACGACAAAAAUUUUAAUGAAAACACCUUUACGACUUCAAUCUCCAAUCUUUAAAAUUAUUAAUAAUUCAUUAAUUGAUCUUCCUUCACCUUCAAAUAUUUCAGCAUGAUGAAACUUUGGAUCCCUAUUAGGAUUAUGUCUAAGAAUUCAAAUUAUUACAGGAAUUUUCUUAGCAAUACAUUAUACAGCUAACAUUGAAAUAGCAUUUAAUAGAGUUACUCAUAUCUGCCGAGAUGUCAACAAUGGUUGACUAAUACGAACCCUUCAUGCAAAUGGAGCUUCAUUUUUUUUUAUUUGUUUAUAUUCUCAUAUUGGACGAGGAAUAUAUUACUCUUCCUAUUAUUUUAUAUUAACUUGAAUAAUUGGAGUAUUAAUUUUAUUUAUAGUUAUAGCAACAGCUUUUUUAGGAUAUGUUCUUCCUUGAGGACAAAUAUCCUUUUGAGGGGCUACAGUUAUUACAAAUUUACUCUCAGCUAUUCCAUAUAUUGGUAUAGAAAUUGUUCAAUGAUUAUGAGGAGGAUUCGCAGUUGAUAAUGCAACUUUAACUCGAUUUUUUACAUUACAUUUUCUUUUACCUUUUAUUGUAACAGCAUUAGUUAUAAUUCACCUAUUAUUUUUACAUCAAACAGGAUCUAAUAAUCCAUUAGGAGUAAAUAGAAAUAUUGAUAAAAUUCCUUUUCAUCCAUAUUUUUCAUUAAAAGAUUUAUUUGGAUUUAUUAUUAUAAUUAUAAUUUUAACUUUAUUAACUUUAAUUAAUCCUUACCUUUUAGGUGACCCAGACAAUUUUACUCCAGCUAAUCCUUUAGUUACCCCUAUUCAUAUUCAACCUGAAUGAUAUUUUUUAUUUGCUUAUGCAAUUUUACGUUCAAUUCCAAACAAAUUAGGGGGAGUAAUUGCUUUAGUAAUAUCAAUUGCUAUUCUUUUUAUUUUACCCUUUACAAAUAAAAAAAAAAUUCAAAGAACAUCAUUCUAUCCAUUAAAUAAAAUUUUAUUUUGAUCUUUAGUUUCAAUUUUAUUUUUAUUAACAUGAAUUGGUGCUCGUCCAGUUGAAGACCCUUACAUCAUUACUGGUCAAAUCUUAACCUGUGUAUAUUUUCUUUACUAUUUAAUUAAUCCUAUGAUUCAUAAAUUAUGAGAUAAAAUAAUUUUUAAUUAGUUAAUGAACUUGAAUAAGUAUAUACUUUGAAAGUAUACUAUAGAAAUUAAAAUUUUCUAUUAACUUACUACUAAAUUUUAUUAACUAUAACAAUAAAACGUAUACAAUAAAUUUUAAUCCUAAAAAUAUAAAUAAAAAAUUUAAUGCUACUCUAAGAAACCUUUUCCAAGCUAAAAAUAUUAAUUUAUCAUAACGAUAACGAGGUAAUGUUCCCCGAACCCAAAUUCAAAAAAAAGAAAUUAAUCUUAACUUUAUAAAAAAAAAUCAAUUUAUAUAAUCUCCACCUAAAAAUAAUAUAACACACAUUAUUCUUAUAAAUAAAAUUCUUGAAUAUUCAGCUAAAAAAAUUAAUGCGAAUCCUCCUCUUCUAUAUUCAACAUUAAAUCCUGAAACUAAUUCCGACUCGCCUUCAGCAAAAUCAAAAGGAGUUCGAUUAGUUUCAGCCAAACUCGAUACAAUUCAUAUUAAUCUUAAUGGAAAAAAUAUAAUAAUAAAUCAUAAAUUUUUUUGAUAUUUAACUAAAUCAAUUAUAUUCAACCUUAAAAUUAUUAUUAAAAAAGAUAUUAAAAUUAAAGCUAAUCUUACUUCAUAAGAAAUUGUUUGAGCAACAGAACGAAUACCUCCUAAUAAAGCAUAAUUAGAAUUUGAAGAUCAUCCAGAAAUUAUUACAGUAUAAACCCCUAAUCUUGAAACACAUAAAAAAUAUAAAAUUCCAAAAUUAAAUGAAUAUAAACUACUAAAAAAAGGCAUACAAAUUCAUAAUAUUAAAGAUAAAAAUAAAUUUAAAAUAGGAGAAAAAUAAUAAAAAUUAAAAUUUGAUAUUAUUGGAUAAACACUUUCUUUAGAAAAUAAUUUAAUGGCAUCUCUAAAUGGUUGUAAUAUACCAAUCAUUCCUACUUUAUUAGGUCCUUUCCGAAUCUGAAUAUAUCCCAAAACUUUUCGCUCUAAUAAUGUCAAAAAAGCUACACCUACUAAAACACAAACAAUUAUAAUUAAACUUCUAAUAAAUAUUAUUAAUAUAUCUAAAAAAUACAAGUAUUAUUUAUAGUAUUACUAUAUUCUUAAAUUCUAAAUUUAAUGCACUAAUCUGCCAAA